Varroa destructor (honeybee mite) is the source of this 10156-nucleotide RNA transcript. It is a transcript of the gene named P-element somatic inhibitor, with no coding region annotated. The record is from RefSeq and is a predicted model, not a curated record. Lineage: Eukaryota; Metazoa; Arthropoda; Arachnida; Mesostigmata; Varroidae.
UUAGUCGCAUGUGUUGCUCAUCGUGGGACGUUUCUUGUAAGGCUGAAAUUGUGUUUUGACUCGACUGACUGCCACCCGACACCAGGCCAGCCGGUCGACAGCGGAGUUCGACGAUUCCCGCCGCCAGUUGCUGACUCUUUCUUUCUCUAAUUUGGCUUCGGCUCCGUUCGUUUUGAGUGAGUGUAUAUCACUCUGUGAGUGUGGGUGCGUGUGUGCAUGUGUGUGUGUGUGUGUGUGUGAAUAUCGUUGGGGUGUGCACAAGUGGACAGUGCCUGUGUUGCCCGGUGGAUAGCUAUCGUCGAGCGCGCGUGAGGUCUGUAACUGAUCGCCGGUGGUAGACCGUCGACUCGUUAUUUUGCGUUGCGUCGCGUUGUGGUCAAAAUGUGUGCUAUCGCUCGGACAGAAUGUGUGUUUUUGUUCGGCAGAUUGGCUGGUCGACCGAUGUUUACUAGACACACCAAAAAGUAUGUGCGUGUGCCUGGCAGUGGUCUAGCGGUGCUUUGACCGACCUCGUGAGACCUCUGUGGCUAGCUAGCUAGUUGGCUGGGUGACUGGCUGACGAAGCGCUCGCUUUCUUCAUGCUGGUGAUGUCGAUUUAUGAGCUCACACAGUUCAAUGGCUACGCUUAAAGGCUGGAUUCGUUGGAUGAUGUUGUGGUGCGUUUUGCUUGGCCGACAAUGACGGACUUGCCCGCCGCCGUGGGGGUGCCACAAUCGUAUCACGGGGUGCUAGUUCCUAGCCGGCCUUUGCCAGGUAGCGUGAGUGUUGGUCGGAUACGCCACCGCCAUCGCUGGGCUAGCCCAGCCGAGAAUCCAACCGCUGCCAGGUGCUGUGUGUUCCGUUGCCGGUGGGUUUAUUAGCUAGCAUAAGCCGCUAGCUCGCUAGGGGCAGCAGCAGCGCCGCUGCCGCCGCCGCCGCCGCCGCGAACAGCUUAACCGACGCAGCAGCAACAAUAAAGGCCAUCAUCUUGUCGCCGCGUUGACUCUUCGGCGGCGUCGUCGUCGUCGACUUCCGUUGCCACCGAAGGCUAAUCUAAAGUCGAGGCUGCAAAAGCUGCCGGAUAACAGCAUUUUUGCAAUCGCCGCCAUCAACAUCCGCAGCAGGCAUCUACCGUUGCGAUCAACGAUUGAAAGUUUUCCGUCGACUGGCAGUGCGAUAGCAAACCUGUACAAACCUGUAGUUUUUUUUCGACUGUUGUUGCUGUGACGGCAACUGCUUUCGGUGCUAUCGUGGGUACCGUGGCUUCAGUGCAGAAAGUAUUGUACUGAGUAAGAGAAGUCGGCGGCGUGCGGUGGUUUUGUGCUUGCCUCUACAGUAGCGUUGCUGCGUGUGCGCUUGUCUAAGGCCAAACCUCAGCAGCAACAGCAAGCAGCCGAUCUGGCUGUCAGCUCGAGGGCUUCAGUAGUUUAUUGUGUAUUGGACUGUCACCUUGAUUGGAUACUUCGUAGCAUAAUCAUUGGUCAUGUGUUGGAAUCUCAGCUGAACUUCUAGAUCGUAUUGCUGCUAAGACAAACGACACCAGCGAACAAUUUCAAUUUUGUGCAGUCAAAAAGGAUAAUACGAAUACUCAUCAAAAUAACUAUCUUUUCCUCAAAAGGCGCUUGAAUUUUCUGCUAGUAGUGACUGUGAUGACUUUGUUAACGAAUACGGCAGCUAGUACCAGUGCAAAGAAUAGUAGUAUAGGUGAUUUAUGAUACAAGUAGGGAAGGUGUGCCAACACAGUCACACGGGCGGUUUAUUAUUGUCAUUGCUACGCCGUAUUUCGCGGCAGCAGCAGCAGUUGCUGUGCAGCACAGUUCGACCGUUACCUUUUUGCAGCUUCACAGCCGCCGUCUUUGUGUUCAUUGCAAUUCCCCAGCCGCUGGCUUCGCAGGCGUGUUUUUCAAUUUUCUAGCCGAAUUGUUAACAAAUGUCGCUGAUCCAACAGAAAACCACAAGGAAUUUCUGAUACCUGAUUUGUCCUGUAGACUACUGGCAUCGUACCUUUCGCUAGCCACCCUAGGACUCGUCGACGUCAGGCCAUACGACACAUGACUGGAAUCAAGACGAGGCCGAGUCUUAAUACUGUUGCAGUUUCUGGAUUAAUUCUAGCUUCACUCGAGAUAACUGUUAUCGUGCAGAUUAUUAGCUCCCCUGCUGCUACUAGUGCUGAUGCUGCUUAGCCGUCCGCCGUGACCGUACUUUUUCCCCUGCUAUCGCUAUAGCAGCCGCCGCUGUCGUCGUAUUGUUGUUGCCCGUCUGUCGUGGUGCUGUGACUGCCACUGCUGCUUCCCAACAGCAGCAACAGCAGCUAUCAUCGCUGCUGCUGGUUGUCGUGGUAGGAGAGCAGUUGACUCUUCGUGCCGUACAGCCUCCUCGUGUGGGUACCGUUAACGUUGCCAUUGCACCGCUAUCAAUCGCCCUCAUCAGCGUCACGUUCUGGUUGGCGACGAACCUUAACAGUAUAGCGCGAAACAAGGAAUUGGCCUGGUCAGGUCGGCGAGUCUGGUGUGAGCUAAGCCGAUGAAGCCGGCCACAUCACUUCACCGGUCAUAGUCGUAGGAGCCGUGAUAUCAGUGUUAAUGGUCGCUGUGGUCAACGGCAAGCAAAAAUCAGUAAGGUACCAACGAUUAAGCUCUUUACAGUUUGGCCGUUAGCCGCGGAUGAACUGGUCGUAGUUCUGCCUCGUUCAGCGGUGGCGUCAGGUGCCGAUACUACUUCGGUUAGGACGAGAAGUGUGCGCAUAGUAGCAGCACCAAUGUACGAAUUACGUUAUACUGGCUAAUAAUGGUAGGAAGCUGAGCUGACGGCGGCCUCGACAAAGGCUUCCUUGUCCGCUGCGUUCUUGUUGGUAUUGUGGUGGAGUGUGGUGCUGUGUUUCGCUGCGCCUACAACGCGAACAAGUACUCAUCGACAAACGUAAGCGCAAUCAACGUGUCGUGUGUUCGUCCAUUCGUCCGUGUGUUACUGCUCCUAAUUUCCAUUGCUGUGCUGCUGCUGUUGCGAAGCUCGCCCGUGUGUAUGGUUCUCUAGAGAGUGACGAAAGCCAGCGAAAAACGAACUAACAAUCAACGACCGACGCGAACCUACGCCGAGUCACCUAUCCCGCGCAGCCGACUCAUUGGCGGCGGCAGCGCUUAGUUGAGUGGUCUCAGUGUUCGGCGGCAUCAGCAGUGAACGGUGGUCGUAAUCGAGCUGGUGGCAUAGUGCUGGUCCCGGCUGCUGCAGCUUCUAGUUACUACUACUACUGCUGCUGCUGCUGCUGCUGCUGCUGCUGCUGUUGCUGUUGUUGUUGCUGCUGCUGCUGCUGCUGAGUCGCUCUAUGCUGUGACCGCUACGUACUGCGGUGCUGAGCCUAGUGCUGUCGUCUACCUACUACUGCUGCCGCCGCCGCCUUUGCCCCCGUCGCCUCCCCCGCCGCCGCCGCCGCCCCCGCUGUGGACGUGGCGGUGGUGUCGAUAUCGUGCUGGUGGUCGUUUUAUCGGUGAGAAGUGGUUAGCUGGCUGGUGAAUAUUGGUCAGUUUACUGGUGUAGCUGUUUAAAAAAGAACGCGAAAUACUGCUACCGGUUGUUUCGUUCGUUCGUGUGUAGAGCACUUGCUGGUGUCCUGCGGUAAAGCGACUGGGGUAGCGAGUGUACAGCGCGGUGGACUGCGGUGGCGGCGAGAGUUUUUGUUAUCUCAACAAGAAGGAAAAAGAGCUGUGCAGCUCGAGAAGUUGGUGCUCGCUGUGCAGCGAUGAGCCGCAUCGGCAAGGAUGUCUAGUGAGCAUUGGCCGAGCGAACGUAACGACCCGACAAGUAGCAGCUGCAGCGGUAGUGGAAUCAGGGAGGUGGCAGCAGCAGCAACGGCGGCGGCGCAGGGCCAGCCAACGCGCACAUCACCGGCGUUCGCCGUUCAACAACACCAACGAACCCGCCAGCCUCGUUGGGAUUCGCUGACUGGAAGCCACAACAAGGGUGUAGCACUGAAACGAUCUCUGGAGGAGCGAGGUGCUAGUGGCUGCGGCCCAGAAGCGAAAAAGAUGGCGGGUGGUCAGGCGGCGCCGGGGGUACUCGGCGCUAAUCCCAACGCUGUUACGGAAGAAUGGUCAGUGCCUGACAAGAUGGUCGGACUUAUCAUAGGUCGUGAUGGCAAACAAAUCAUGAAGCUUCAGCAAGAGAGUCAGUGCAAGGUUCAACUCUCGUCGGAAUCAAACGGAACUUCGGAGCGACCCUGUACAUUGACCGGGAGUAAGCAAGCGGUUGAGAAGGCUAAAGAACUCAUCUCUGCGCUUAUCACCCGAGGACAAGAAGCCUUGCAUAAGGGCGCAAUGAAUGGUGGCGGGGGCGGAAACCAGGGAGAUAUUACUCUCGACGUCCCUUGUCCAGGGCACAAAGCCGGUUUGGUGAUUGGGCGCGGAGGUGAGACCAUCCGUGGGCUGCAGGACCGCGCGGGCGUGAAGAUGGUCGUGGUUCAGGAAUCCUCAAUGCCACCGCAUAUGGAUAAGCCGAUCCGCAUCACGGGCGAGCCAGCGAAGGUUGAAUUUGCGAAGAAACUCGUUCUUGACCUCAUCAACGGCUCAGCCCCACAGAACGGAGGCCCUGGUGGCGGAUGUAGCGGUGGGCAUCUGGAGCGAGGAGGCAGCGGCUUCCCUGGAAGUCAAAUGGGAGGCCCCGGCGGACUCACUCCAGUGCCCGGCGAACCUGGCAUGCUACAGGAGCAACUAAUUGUGCCCCGGCAAGCUGUCGGCGUAGUCAUUGGUAAGCAGGGUGACACGAUAAAACGCAUACAGCUAGAGACCGGCGCGCGCGUGCAGUUCCAGACCCCGGUGGAUGAAAGUCAACCUGACCGGAUUUGCAUGAUCACCGGACACCAACAGCAGGUUGUUCUCGCCUGCAACCACAUCUCGGACCUCAUCUCCUCAGUUCUUCGGAGGGACGAUGAAAAUGGCGGGCCGAGUGUCGGCAGCGGCGGCAGUUUAGGUGGACUAGGUGGAAUGGGCCGGGGUGCUGGUAGAGGUAUUAGUGGUCGAGGGGCAAUUCGGGGAGGCUUCAGAGGAGGUCGUGGAGGCGGCAGAGGAGGUCCGAUGGGAAUGGGAGGCGGUCAUUUGAGUUCGCCAGGCAGCGGUAUGGGUGCUGGAAGCGGUAUGGGCGGUCUCGGGCCCGAUCAGCAGGAGGCGCAGAUGCAGGUGGCCGCCAACAAAUGCGGCCUCGUAAUUGGUAAAGGCGGUGAGAGUAUUCGUCACAUCAUGCAACAGAGCGGUGCGUACAUCGAGCUGUCCCGCGCGGGUGGGCCUUCAGCCACUGAGAAGUUCUUCACGAUUCGGGGCACGCCACAAAGUAUCGAGGUGGCGCAACAGCUUAUCUCGGAGAAGAUUGGCAGCGCAGGCAAUACUGGGCCGCCCGGCAGCGGUAUGAUGGCCGGUGGCGGCACGAGUGCAAACGGAGGCACGCCUGGCGGCUACCAGCCUGGUUAUGGCAGUCAAACAAGUUACGCGGCCCAGGGAGGCGGCCAGUAUGGCGGUGCGGUGGCCACAGCGCCCGGCCAGAGCGCCUGGGGUCAACCAGGGCCCUACCAGACGCCAACAGCCGCAAACGGGACAGCCCAGUGGGGACAGCCGCCCACCGCCGCAACUCCGAACGGCGACUUAAGCAAACAGCAAGACAACUCGACAGCCUGGGCGGCGUUUUACCACCAGUACUAUCAACAACCAGGCGGAGCCCAUCCUGCUGCAGCGCCAACAGCUGCAGCAGGUGGCAGCGCAGCCUCGAAUCCAUCGGCGCCUCCCUCGACGGGGCCGAGUGGUCAACCCGAUUACAGUCAGGCAUGGAUUGACUACUACCGUCAGUUGGGAAUGUUCCAGGAGGCGGAGUUGAUCGAGCGACAGACGCGCGGAGGCGCUCAGGCUAACCCCGCCGCCCAGCAGCCUCAACCGCAGACACAGGCCGGCACUCCAGGUGGGCCCAGCGGCGUUGCCCAGAAUGGCGCGCCCUGGGGCGCAGCACCAUACGCUGCGCCCGGUGCCCCCUACGGAGGUGCACCAGCUGCACCUCAGCCCUACGGCACUUACGGAUACCCCAGCGCAUAAUAAGAUCACGUUCCAUCACCGCUCCAGAAAUAAUUACUACUACUGCUACCGCAGCUCUUACCCUUCGCGUAAAUAGCAAGCAAGCUGCUUCUUCAUGGAGGGGGGAGGGGGCCCAACAUAGCCGACGAUAGAAUAGCAAGAAGAAUUAUUAAACAACAUCUAUGAAUAUUUACUACCAGCACCAACAACAACAACAACAACAACAACAACAGCAGCAGCAGCAGCAGCAGCAGCAACAGCAACAACAACAACAACAACAACAAGAGAAAGAACAACAAAGUCAUAUGGAGAAAAAUCUGUCUGUUUGUGACCGAUUCUGGAUGAAGACAAAGAUAAAAUGAUAAACCUCUUCAACAAGAACAGCCACAACAAUAAGCGAGCAGCUGUUCGUCUUUUCAACCGUUGUACCGCAUGAUAUUACAAGUGCUCCUGCAACUAUUCCUACAACUACUACAAUCAUUUCUACCAUAUUUCCCACAACUUCUACAACCACGCCGGCUGACUGCAGCAAAGACCUCAACUGUCUCGUUGUGUCUUCUCUCUACACAAAAAUAAGAAGAGAUCUACUUUUGCGAGAGAAUGUACUGCCUCACUGGGACUUUUUCAGAUCGUGUAGACGCAUUUGCGAAAGGUCAGAACGCGAAGUAGCUGUACACAAAUGACACAGCUUCUUCAAACGAGCGAUGUCGAGGCGUAAAGACGACAGCGACGAAUGAAGAUGACGACAAAAGUAACGACUCUCUUAGCAGCAACGCUCAGUGAACGACAAAUAUCGCCAAGUAACAAGCAAAAUGACGGCAUGCAAAAAUAACCACAACAAUAAGAACAACAGCAGCAGCGGUAGCUACAACAAAGACGGCAACGCCACGUGAAUAUACGACAAUGCACAGUCGUAUUAUGCUACGCAUGAUAAGUCAUCAGGACGGUUGCCCAUGAAAAAGGGAAAUGUAUAUGAAUAUCAGAUAUAAUAGGUUUAAAACACACAUAAUACAUUCGUGCAUAUGUUAGUUGCUGGGUGGUAUAGAUGUGUAAUGAUAGCGCUAUGCGCACAAGACUAUCGAGUUGGCGAGAGAGUAGAACGAUGACAAGCGAUACAGGGGUAUAUUAUUUAAAGCGACUAUAGGCCUCUUUAAGAUGUCAGAUUUGCGGAUUUGUAGGAGUGACGAUCUCAUGCUGACCAAUUUGCUAUCCAACGACAGACAACAUAUGCAGACGAAUAUUCGUGUGCUUACAGACACUCAUACAUCAAAAAACGCACGUAGACAUGCACACAUACACACACACCCACACACACACACACACACACCCAUAUGGACAGUAAACAGUCACUGUACAGCGCGGAAUCUGCGCUACAGACAUGCACAUGUCGACAAAGGUUCAUACCGAGAGAGAAGUACACAUUUAAAUUUACACAUCCUUUGUUGAUGUUAUAUUAUUAAUUUAUGUUAUCUACUCACAACCUAGCCGGUCAUCAAAGGCUCCAUAACUGAAUGGUUCAUUAGACCUUUUUGCCGUCUUUUCUUUUUGCUGUCUCCUUAAUGCGUGUUCGUCUCCCUAGCUUCAUGCGUAGUUUGCCAAUGUGUAUGUGUUAAGUCCAAAAACAGGGAAAACAUACUCACAAUUGCCUAUUAUAAUACUAAUAAUAAUAUACGGUAAUGGAUUUAUUAAAGGUAGUGCUGUUACGAUCUAUACGCUAAUGAUAAGAAGAUUAGGUCAAAUAACGGGAAUAUCAAACUGUUAAUUUUUCAUUUUUUCUUGCUGCUCAAUUUUUGAUGACACGUUUCUUGUUCGAUUAUUUUUCCAUCGUAGUUUUCAGCGCUAGUGGUCAAAAAACAAUUGGUUUUCUGUAGUUGUUUUCCUAUAGUGGGAAUGAGUGUUUUUCGCUGCUCAACUGUAUGUGGUACAUAUAUAUAGUGCAUCAUUACGGUAACAUGAAAGCGAUGACAGGGAUUAAAAUGAUAACGACAGUGAUUUCAAAAGUAACGUUGAUGUUUGUGAAGCAUGGAUAUAAAUUAAGGCAAAAAUAAUGGCUAAAAUACUAUAUCUACAUAUAUUAAGGCGAAACGUAACAGAUACACAAACACGAAUACAUAUAUUUAGAGUAGUGUGUAACAUCGACACCAAGUAAACAAUUAAAAACAGCAGAAAAUGAUGAGAUAAAUUAUGAUAAGACAAUGAUAGUAUCACAUCUCAUGUGCUCGUCAAUUGUACAGAACAUGGAGAUGUGCGGGGUGCGAAGUUCAGGUGAUGGCAUAGAACGCUUUUUGUGCUUGGUGGAAAGCAAAUACGUUGAUUUUCUAUACUAUGUCCCACACGCCAUGAACGGUAUACCCCAUCAACCACCUCAGCGUGAAUAGACGCAUGUUUGUCUGAUUUAGGUGACAAUACCUGGUCUUAAAGAAAAGAAUGCGACAGCUAGUGUCAAACUGACCCACGCGACAUUGAAGCCAUGUCUAGCGGCUUUGUUUCGUGUGGUAUCAAAUAGUUAGACGAAUCUGUCAUAUAUAAGCUAUGAAGACAGAGUUCUAAUUAAGGACUUAUAGAUGUAAACAUUUGGGGGGUCUUGGGGAAAGACAACACUGAACGCUAGCGAAAAACACAUUUACAGAUAUCAUCUACAGGUGUACAGCCACACAGACGAAGGCAUACAUUCACCAACCGGAUAGUCGCAACAGGCAGAGAAAGUAGGUGGAACGAAAACAUGAUAGUCAUAGAAAGAGCGUGCGCCCUGCAAGGAAUUAGGAGAAGAGAAGGACGGUGUAAGGAAAAAGAAAACCUUUUUUUUUUUCAACAAAUAAUGAUCAUUGUCUUUACCUUCGAAAACAAUCGUUUGUAUCCGCCUACGCGGCAGAGUCUAUAUCGUGUUAAGCUGCGAGUGGGUCCCGUUAUGCCUUUGGUCUAUAUAUACAAAACAAAAUACAUGAAAUAUAUGUGUGUCGGUAGUGCGGGUGAAAACGCGGAAAAUCAAUAAAGCGCGAGAUACAGAAAGACAACCGGGAAAAAGAGGGUGUGCAGGUACAGACGACUGUAGACGUUGUUACUGGUAUAUGUACUUUCGGAACAAACCGCGAGAGAGAAAAAGACAUAAAUAUCUAGUUGCUACUUGCUAAUGCGACUAUAACGGAGGAUUCCUCCUAACACGAACUCCGACCGUUAGGUAUUUGCGUCCCGCAGGUUAGCGUCUUCGUCAGGCAGCCAGAUACAAUAUAUAUAUAUAUAUAUAUAGAUAUAUAUAUAUAUAUGGUCGGCGAUUGCUGCUUGACAAAUGCGGGCGCCAAAAUAACUCGAACAUUGUGGCACAGAGCCUGUGUUGGAUGCACACUCAGAGGGAGUGUUGUUGAUAGAUGUGUGACGUGAUGGUAGUCGAAUAAAGUAAAAUAAGCAGUAUAGUAAUAACAAUUGCAACAAUUUAGAAAAAAAUUAGGAGAACCAUAUAUAUAUAAGCCUAAGUCGGGUCUCUUAUGAAAGCAGAAGUUAAAAUACGGGACAGGAAAAAUGACAGAGGUAGAGGUAUGGAAAGCUCUCAUUGCGGGUAUGUUCGACCUUGCGAUAACCCCUACACACUCAGCCUGGCUAUCCGGUACUAUCCGGGGUCAGUAACAACAAAAACAACUACACUAACAAAAGUAGAAGUGAAGAUGGUAGUAACAGGCGAACAACAAAGCACUUUAAAUCGAAAUAGCGAGCGCAACAACAGGAAGAGGAAUGAUCAAUAAUUAACGGAAGUGGAAAUUCCAAAAAAAAACCAGCAACUGGAGCCCAAUCCAACCGACCUAAGUAAAACCCAACAAACAAAGAAACAAAUAUAAUAAUGCGACAAUAAAAAUAGCAAUGAUGAUGAUGAUAAUAGUAAUAAAAGUAACAGUACUAUGAUGAUUAAUGAUUAUUAUUAAUUAUUGAAGAAAAAACAUAAGCAAAAACACAUCCAUCAUUCCGGCCCGGUCCCGGUUUGCGGGCCCCUUCGAUGCCGCGCCGUUGCCGGCCUUCAACAAGCAUCUGUCUCUUCGUAAAUUUAGAAUACAUGCAUUGAUGUUGUAUAUUAUUUAUGCCGAUGAUAAUAAUAAUGAAAAGCGACGUCAAGGAAGAAAUUAUUAUAAUAUGAAGAGAGC